CUGAUAGUUCAUCAGCCUUGCCUGGUAUCAAAAAAGAAGAUAUUACAACUUGAGAAUUCAACAAAGCUUGCAAUGACAGCCAAUAGAAGAUUUUGAUAAAUGGUGGGGGAAAAUGAUAAAGAUUACACGCAAAAACUUUCAUCUUGCAAAUUAAUUAGUACAAUAAUUUGGCACACAGUUUUUCCUAUGACCAUUUCAAUUUUAGACAAACCCAAAAGUCUUUUACAACACAGGCGCUCAAUUAUGUCCCCCCAAAAUCCAAAUCCUUCAGUGGUCCCUCCCAUGCAUGGUGCACCUCAAUAUGCCACACCAUCUCCAAAGACAUGGGUUCUAAAGUUCAUUCCAUGUCAAACACACAUUUCAAACAUAAGGAUGAGCACAAUUGCAUUAAUGAAAGGCAUAUUAAUGCAGCAAAUACUUUCUUUGAAGACCAGUAACGAAUAGAAGACAAGGCAAUCCAAUGCACAAAUAUCUAAAUCUACAAACCUCCAAAAACAAAACAUUGAAGCUUAAUCUCAAUGAUAUAAAAGGGAAUAUCUAGAACAAUAUACAGGCAACAUCUCCUCAAAAAACUUCAGCAAUGACAACUCAUACAUGCACUACAUGCAUUACAUGCAUAUAUACAAACACGCAUUAAGUGUUUUAACAACAACAGAAGUAAUUUAAAGGUAAAACAUCUAUAUAUAUAGACAAACAAUUUUCACAAAAUUACUCACAACAUAUUUUUUUUCCAAUACUUUUGUGAAUUUUAUUAACCUAAAUAUUAUGUCCAACUAUAAGAAUCAAUUAUUUGAAAAGCUUGAGCCUCAUCACAUAGAGGAUUAUUUCUGCUUCAACAACAGUAGAACACCUAGAUUUAUGCUUAGCCUUUCAAAAAUCAUUUUAGCAUUGCUUACCUCAUUCUCAAGAGGUGGAAGAAGGCCUUUGAGGUAAGCCCCAAUUAGAAAAAG
Molecule: unclassified non-coding RNA, 950 nt
Filed under: Hevea brasiliensis (rubber tree)
Lineage: Eukaryota; Viridiplantae; Streptophyta; Magnoliopsida; Malpighiales; Euphorbiaceae
Source: RNAcentral